GGUUAAGCGACUAAGCGUACACGGUGGAUGCCCUGGCAGUCAGAGGCGAUGAAGGACGUGCUAAUCUGCGAAAAGCGUCGGUAAGGUGAUAUGAACCGUUAUAACCGGCGAUGUCCGAAUGGGGAAACCCAGUGCAAUUCGUUGCACUAUCGUUAACUGAAUACAUAGGUUAACGAGGCGAACCGGGGGAACUGAAACAUCUAAGUACCCCGAGGAAAAGAAAUCAACCGAGAUUCCCCCAGUAGCGGCGAGCGAACGGGGAGCAGCCCAGAGUCUGAAUCAGCUUGUGUGUUAGUGGAACGGUCUGGAAAGUCCGACGGUACAGGGUGAUAGUCCCGUACACCAAAAUGCACAGGCUGUGAACUCGAAGAGUAGGGCGGGACACGUGGUAUCCUGUCUGAAUAUGGGGGGACCAUCCUCCAAGGCUAAAUACUCCUGACUGACCGAUAGUGAACCAGUACCGUGAGGGAAAGGCGAAAAGAACCCCGGCGAGGGGAGUGAAAAAGAACCUGAAACCGUGUACGUACAAGCAGUGGGAGCACCUUCGGGUGUGACUGCGUACCUUUUGUAUAAUGGGUCAGCGACUUAUAUUCUGUAGCAAGGUUAACCGUAUAGGGGAGCCGCAGGGAAACCGAGUCUUAACUGGGCGUUAAGUUGCAGGGUAUAGACCCGAAACCCGGUGAUCUAGCCAUGGGCAGGUUGAAGGUUGGGUAACACUAACUGGAGGACCGAACCGACUAAUGUUGAAAAAUUAGCGGAUGACUUGUGGCUGGGGGUGAAAGGCCAAUCAAACCGGGAGAUAGCUGGUUCUCCCCGAAAGCUAUUUAGGUAGCGCCUCGUGAACUCAUCUUCGGGGGUAGAGCACUGUUUCGGCUAGGGGGUCAUCCCGACUUACCAACCCGAUGCAAACUACGAAUACCGAAGAAUGUUAUCACGGGAGACACACGGCGGGUGCUAACGUCCGUCGUGAAGAGGGAAACAACCCAGACCGCCAGCUAAGGUCCCAAAGUCAUGGUUAAGUGGGAAACGAUGUGGGAAGGCACAGACAGCCAGGAUGUUGGCUUAGAAGCAGCCAUCAUUUAAAGAAAGCGUAAUAGCUCACUGGUCGAGUCGGCCUGCGCGGAAGAUGUAACGGGGCUAAACCAUGCACCGAAGCUGCGGCAGCGACACUAUGUGUUGUUGGGUAGGGGAGCGUUCUGUAAGCCUGCGAAGGUGUGCUGUGAGGCAUGCUGGAGGUAUCAGAAGUGCGAAUGCUGACAUAAGUAACGAUAAAGCGGGUGAAAAGCCCGCUCGCCGGAAGACCAAGGGUUCCUGUCCAACGUUAAUCGGGGCAGGGUGAGUCGACCCCUAAGGCGAGGCCGAAAGGCGUAGUCGAUGGGAAACAGGUUAAUAUUCCUGUACUUGGUGUUACUGCGAAGGGGGGACGGAGAAGGCUAUGUUAGCCGGGCGACGGUUGUCCCGGUUUAAGCAUGUAGGCUGGUUGUCCAGGCAAAUCCGGAUAAUCAAGGCUGAGGUGUGAUGACGAGGCACUACGGUGCUGAAGUAACAAAUGCCCUGCUUCCAGGAAAAGCCUCUAAGCAUCAGGUAACAUCAAAUCGUACCCCAAACCGACACAGGUGGUCAGGUAGAGAAUACCAAGGCGCUUGAGAGAACUCGGGUGAAGGAACUAGGCAAAAUGGUGCCGUAACUUCGGGAGAAGGCACGCUGGUGUGUAGGUGAAGUCCCUGCGGAUGGAGCUGAGACCAGUCGAAGAUACCAGCUGGCUGCAACUGUUUAUUAAAAACACAGCACUGUGCAAACACGAAAGUGGACGUAUACGGUGUGACGCCUGCCCGGUGCCGGAAGGUUAAUUGAUGGGGUUAUCCGUAAGGAGAAGCUCUUGAUCGAAGCCCCGGUAAACGGCGGCCGUAACUAUAACGGUCCUAAGGUAGCGAAAUUCCUUGUCGGGUAAGUUCCGACCUGCACGAAUGGCGUAAUGAUGGCCAGGCUGUCUCCACCCGAGACUCAGUGAAAUUGAACUCGCUGUGAAGAUGCAGUGUACCCGCGGCAAGACGGAAAGACCCCGUGAACCUUUACUAUAGCUUGACACUGAACAUUGAGCCUUGAUGUGUAGGAUAGGUGGGAGGCUUUGAAGCGUGGACGCCAGUCUGCGUGGAGCCAACCUUGAAAUACCACCCUUUAAUGUUUGAUGUUCUAACGUUGGCCCCUGACCGGGGUUGCGGACAGUGUCUGGUGGGUAGUUUGACUGGGGCGGUCUCCUCCCAAAGCGUAACGGAGGAGCACGAAGGUUAGCUAAUCCUGGUCGGACAUCAGGAGGUUAGUGCAAUGGCAUAAGCUAGCUUGACUGCGAGCGUGACGGCGCGAGCAGGUGCGAAAGCAGGUCAUAGUGAUCCGGUGGUUCUGAAUGGAAGGGCCAUCGCUCAACGGAUAAAAGGUACUCCGGGGAUAACAGGCUGAUACCGCCCAAGAGUUCAUAUCGACGGCGGUGUUUGGCACCUCGAUGUCGGCUCAUCACAUCCUGGGGCUGAAGUAGGUCCCAAGGGUAUGGCUGUUCGCCAUUUAAAGUGGUACGCGAGCUGGGUUUAGAACGUCGUGAGACAGUUCGGUCCCUAUCUGCCGUGGGCGCUGGAGAAUUGAGGGGGGCUGCUCCUAGUACGAGAGGACCGGAGUGGACGCAUCACUGGUGUUCGGGUUGUCAUGCCAAUGGCACUGCCCGGUAGCUAAAUGCGGAAGAGAUAAGUGCUGAAAGCAUCUAAGCACGAAACUUGCCCCGAGAUGAGUUCUCCCUGAGACU
Molecule: ribosomal RNA, 2794 nt
Filed under: Klebsiella pneumoniae
Lineage: Bacteria; Pseudomonadati; Pseudomonadota; Gammaproteobacteria; Enterobacterales; Enterobacteriaceae
Description: partial 23S ribosomal RNA
Rfam family: Bacterial large subunit ribosomal RNA
Source: RNAcentral